RNAcentral lists this ribosomal RNA (497 nucleotides) under uncultured bacterium. RNAcentral describes it as "partial 16S ribosomal RNA". It matches the Rfam family "Bacterial small subunit ribosomal RNA", at positions 28 to 507 of the family's 1533-position model. The record is from RNAcentral.
GAUGAACGCUGGCGGCGUGCCUAAUACAUGCAAGUCGAGCGAACAGACGAGGAGCUUGCUCCUCUGACGUUAGCGGCGGACGGGUGAGUAACACGUGGAUAACCUACCUAUAAGACUGGGAUAACUUCGGGAAACCGGAGCUAAUACCGGAUAAUAUAUUGAACCGCAUGGUUCAAUAGUGAAAGACGGUUUUGCUGUCACUUAUAGAUGGAUCCGCGCCGCAUUAGCUAGUUGGUAAGGUAACGGCUUACCAAGGCAACGAUGCGUAGCCGACCUGAGAGGCUGAUCGGCGACACUGGAACGGAGACACGGUCCAGACUCCUACGGGAGGCAGCAGUAGGGAAUCUUCCGCAAUGGGCGAAAGCCUGACGGAGCAACGCCGAGUGAGUGAUGAAGGUCUUCGGAUCGUAAAACUCUGUUAUUAGGGAAGAACAAAUGUGUAAGUAAAUAUGCACGUCUUGACGGUACCUAAUCAGAAAGCCACGGCUAACUACGUG